Cervus elaphus (red deer) is the source of this 1207-nucleotide long non-coding RNA. RefSeq lists it as uncharacterized. The transcript is spliced from 3 exons. The record is from RefSeq and is a predicted model, not a curated record. Lineage: Eukaryota; Metazoa; Chordata; Mammalia; Artiodactyla; Cervidae.
GGCUUGCUGGCGUGGAGGGACUGCAGCUUGCGUCUUCUCGCCUCCGCGAGCGCAGUUCUGGCAACUCUUCAAGAACAAAAGGUCAUGGUGAAUCUAAAUAUUUCUUCUUAAGGCUGGAGACUCACAUAUUGUUUGAUUUCUUGGUGUACUGAACCAAAGUCAUGGACCCAGGAUGAGGAAGAGAAUGAAUUUACAGAUGAAGUAGGGAAGGACAAACAAUACAUAUUAAUAGUUUCAUAAGAAUACGUCUCAUACCUACACUGGCCCAAUAUAUUAUGAUGGAACCCAAGCAAGACCACUGGGAAUAAAAAGUUUCUCAAAGACUACUGUCAAGGGACUUUGCUGGCGGUCCAGUGGUUAAGAGACCAUCUUCCAAUGCAGGGGACGUGGAUUCAAUCCCUGUUCUGGGAACUCAGAUUUCACAUGCUGAGGGGCAACUAAACCUGUGCAAAUGAAGCUCCUGAGCCUGUGAGCUGCAACUAGAGAGCCCGUGCCAUGGGGCUCACGCGAGGGAAGGCCACGUGCCACGGCCAAGACCUGAUGUAAAGGUUGUAAAGAAAUAAAGAAAGAAACCAAGAUCCGGAAAUUCUACCCAAGUGAGCUUCUGAGGGCUGCUGGAGUGCAAAGCUUCCAGAACACACUGAUGAAAGAAAGCUGUAAGUUGUGAACUGAAAAAAUAAGUUUACGUAUGUGUGAAAACACUAUCUCACCGAACCUUGCAACAAGAGAACAACUCCCCCUGAACCGGUGUGUGUUCAUUCAUACAGUUUUCCCGUUUCAGUGACGGUGUAUGUAUAUAGUGCUCGCUGCUCUCUCCAGCGAGCUAUUUCAGUUUCAUUUCCUUUUUGCAAGCUUGAUGCAUGUUGGUGGAAUAAUUACUGUGUUUUUUUACCACUAUCUCUCAAAUGCCUGAAGAACAAUAAUAGUUCUCUGUGCCUCAGGGAGACAUCCAGCUGAUAGCCGACAUUUGUUGAAGAAUCAUGUUAUUUUAGGCCAGCAUCAAAGUGGAUAACAAGUAGCAUAUCUCAUUCCUAGAACAAAUGAACAUUAUUCACAAAUCUUUCUGUUACUUUCAGACAAUAUUAAUAGUAUAAAGAAUAUAUUCUAUUUAUGUUAAUAAUACAAAAAAGUUAAUACUUACUAUGAAGUUUACUGCCCUUAGAAAUUUAAUAGCUAUACUAUAUGCUGAAAUUUAUCAAAUUUUCUA